Chiloscyllium plagiosum (whitespotted bambooshark) is the source of this 1078-nucleotide long non-coding RNA. RefSeq lists it as uncharacterized. Lineage: Eukaryota; Metazoa; Chordata; Chondrichthyes; Orectolobiformes; Hemiscylliidae. The record is from RefSeq and is a predicted model, not a curated record.
UGCAUCCCUUCUGAAUUAGUUAACCAGGGAUUACGCUUGUGAAACGCUAUUUGACCGUUGAGGGUUUUUAUUUCUCAGAAUCGGUGGUGCUGCGAUUGUUGUAGAUGUGAAGAUGCUUUAUGUGAAUGAAAUGGGCCCUGCAUCACUUUGUAUUGAAGUGCUCUCUGUAUUCGGGGAAUAAGAUAACAGGUUGACUGGAAGUAUGAAAAUUGAACGGAUUAGACGAAUUGCUUCAUUCAACAUGACUUAAGGUUCCAUAUCUCUAAUUUUAUUUUGAAGAAGUUUCUCGUUUAUAUUUAUCGUGCUGACGUAAAUCGUUGUUAGGUUGUUAAGUACAUAAAUCAUUCGUGAACAGGGAUUUCAUCAUAUGAUGAAAGCGUACAGCAUCGAUAAUAAACAGCUAGUUUACUCUCAUGGCAUUGCAGAAUCAGCUGUGUUCGAAGACCCCCUUGUAUGGAGGAUGAACUCUAUUCAGGUACUUCCAUGGGUCAGCAGGGAUGACUGGAGAAUGUUCCUAAAGUAGUUAUGCUAUCCUCCUGGAAGAGACCUGCCACAACUGACAUUCAAGUACGGUCGUUCUUUUGGGAUCCUGGUGUGUGCUGCCCAUCAGAGCUGAUUUUAAGAUAUUAACACCUCAAUGUUAGGCAUGUUGAAUUGGGAGAGGACACUGCUGUUGGAUCACUUCUUUUGCCUCAUAUUUGAAAGAUGUUGUGAAGAUAUCACUGGUGCUGCUUCUGCAAUAAUUUAAAGCACCCAGUGGAGGUCAUCUAAGUGUCCUAAGUAGAUAGGACUGUGGAGAUUAGAAAAAAAAGAAGGCUGGAGAAUGUUUUUCUCUUUGAAUAAAAACCUGACCUGGACACCUUAACAGCAGUAGUUUCCUUGUGAAGCUAACAAACAGUUCUAUGAAUAGUAAGAACUGUGUUGCUGUGACAAACAUGAGUAUUUAAAUAAAUUCAGGUAAAUUACUUCUUCUGUGAUUUUAGCCAAAUAUAUUAUCAAAUAUUGGGUAUAUCAGUGGUUAGCACUGCUGCCUCACAGCGCCAGGGACUCUGGUUCGAUUCCUGCCUCAGGUGACUGU